This 1466-nucleotide ribosomal RNA is filed under the name Austrofundulus limnaeus. RNAcentral's name for it is "bacterial LSU rRNA". It matches the Rfam family "Bacterial large subunit ribosomal RNA", at positions 433 to 1975 of the family's 2925-position model. Lineage: Eukaryota; Metazoa; Chordata; Actinopteri; Cyprinodontiformes; Rivulidae. The record is from RNAcentral.
CCUGUCUGAAUCUGGCGGGACCAUCCGCUAAGGCUAAAUACUCCUGAGAGACCGAUAGUGAACCAGUACCGUGAGGGAAAGGUGAAAAGAACCGUGAAUAACGGAGUGAAAAAGAUCCUGAAACCAUACGCCUACAAGCGGUCGGAGCCCAUUCGUUGGGUGACGGCGUGCCUUUUGCAUAAUGAGCCUACGAGUUACCGUUGCUGGCAAGGAUAAGCACUUCAGGUGUGGAUCCGUAGCGAAAGCGAGUCUGAAUAGGGCGCUAUAGUCAGUAGUGGUAGACGCGAAACCGUGUGAUCUACCCAUGGGCAGGAUGAAGCUGUGGUAACACACAGUGGAGGUCCGAACCGGUUGACGUUGAAAAGUCUUCGGAUGACCUGUGGGUAGGGGUGAAAGGCCAAUCAAACUGAGAGAUAGCUCGUUCUCCCCGAAAUGUUUUUAGGAACAGCGUUGCAUCAAGAAGUUUAUUAGAGGUAGAGCUACUGAUUGGGCUAGGGGGCUUCACCGCCUACCAAACCCUGACAAACUCCGAAUGCUAAUAAAUAUCUGCAGCAGUGAGGCUUUGGGCGCUAAGGUCCAGGGCCGAGAGGGAAAUAACCCAGAUUAGCAACUAAGGUCCCUAAUACACAGUUAAGUUGAUCAAACGAGGUGGGAUUUCAAUAACAGCCAGGAUGUUGGCUUGGAAGCAGCCAUUCAUUUAAAGAGUGCGUAACAGCUCACUGGUCGAGAGAUCCUGCACGGAAAAUAAUCGGGCAUCAAACUGUGAACCGAAGUUCUAAAUUCAACCGUAAGGUUGAGUGGUAGGGGAGCAUUCAAAUCAGCACAGAAGGUGAUAGGCGACUAUUGCUGGAGCGAUUUGAAAAGAAAAUGUAGGCAUAAGUAACGAUAAUUAAAGUGAAAAACUUUAACGCGAAAAGUCUAAGGUUUCCUGAUCAACGUUAAUCGGAUCAGGGUUAGUCUGGUCCUUAGGAAAACCCGAAAGGGGCAUCUGAUGGAAAGAAGGUUAAUAUUCCUUCACCUGCUAUACAUUAAAAGUGACGCAGGGACGUGGUUGUUGCGUACGGACGGAAGUGUGCGCUGAGCGGAGUCUUCGGACGAAGCGAAACAAUAAAAUCCCUGCCAAGAAAAGCGAGUAUGGCAGCCAGUACCGCAAACCGACACAGGUAGACGGGAUGAGUAUUCUAACGCGCUCGGGUGAGCCGUGGAGAAGGAACUAGGCAAAUUGACGCUGUAACUUCGGGAUAAAGCGUACCGCAGCGAUGCGGUCACAGUAAAAUGGUUCAACCAACUGUUUAACAAAAACACAGGGCCCUGCAAAAUCGAAAGAUGACGUAUAGAGCCUGAAACCUGCCCGGUGCUGGAAGGUUAAGGAAGGGUGUUCGUAGCAAUACAAAGCUCCUGACUGAAGCCCCAGUAAACGGCGGCCGUAACUAUAACGGUCCUAAGGUAGCGAAAUUCCUUGUCGG